CGGGGUACCCUUUGAUCCUACUUAGUUCAACCAAAUGAACUAAAAUUUUAGAACGACAUAACUUUUUGGAAAACUAGUUCAUUGGUUUGAACUAAGGAGGGUCAAAGGGUACCCUA
This is a non-coding RNA of Brachypodium distachyon (stiff brome), 116 nucleotides long. The record is from Rfam. Lineage: Eukaryota; Viridiplantae; Streptophyta; Magnoliopsida; Poales; Poaceae.